GAGAGAGAGAGAGAGAGAGAGAGAGAGAGAGAGAGAGGGAGAAAAAAAAAAAAAGUAGAUAGAUAAGUUGAGAGAGAGAGAGAGAGAGAGAGAGAGAGAGAGAGAGAGAGAGAGAGAGAGAGAGAGAGAGAUAUUAAUAGCAGUUCCUUACAUUUAAAGAGUAAAGGAAGAUGCUUGGGGUGACUAACAACCAAGAAGGAUGAAAACACGGAAUUAAAGUUAACGAUGAGAACUGAGAAAUAAGCUGAAUCACGUCUUGUUAUGGAGAGGAAGGAAGGAGGAGGAGGAGGAGGAGGAGGAGGAGGAGGAUAAACAGUAUAAGCGAUAAGUGGUUAAUAGAGAAUAACAGAUAGAGACGAGUAGUUGCAGGUAGAUGGACAGGUGAAGAGAAGAAUAAUAAGCAUGGCGUGGAGUGGUUGAGAGGGACAGUCACGUAAUGAGGUCACUGUGAGAGCAAGGAGGAGGAGGAGGAGGGGGCGGGGAGAAGGGAGGAGAAGUAGAGUGAAGUAGUAAAGGAGGAGGAGAGUGACGAGGCAGAAGUACGAAAAUGAGCAGGAAGGAAAGAGGAUAGAGGUAGAAGUACAAGGAUGAGCAGGAAGGAGAAGGAGAGUGACGAGGUAGAAGUAAAAGGAUGAGCAGGAAGGAGAAGGAGAGUGACGAGGUAGAAGUACAAGGAUGAGCAGGAAGGAGAAGGAGAGUGACGAGGUAGAAGUACAAGGAUGAGCAGGAAGGAAAGAUGAGAGUGAAGAAGCAGAAGUACAAGUAUGAGCAGGAAGGAAAGAUGAGAGAGUGGAAGCAGAAGUACAAGUAUGAGCAGGAAGGAAAGAGGAGAACGAAGAAGCAGAAGUACAAGGAUGAGCAGGAAGGAGAAGGAGUUAGGCGAGUGAGAAGUACAAGGAUGAGCAGGAAGGAAAGAGGAGAAUGAAGAAGCAGAAGUACAAGGAUGAGCAGGAAGGAAAGAGGAGAAUGAAGAAGCAGAAGUACAAGUAUGAGCAGGAAGGAAAGAGGAGAAUGAAGAAGCAGAAGUACAAGGAUGAGCAGGAAGGAAAGAGGAGAAUGAAGAAGCAGAAGUACAAGGAUGAGCAGGAAGAAAAGAGGAGAGUGACGAGGUAGAAGUACAAGGAUGAGCAGGAAGGAAAGAGGAGAGUGAAGAAGCAGAAGUACAAGGAUGAGCAGGAAGGAAAGAGGAGAAUGAAGAAGCAGAAGUACAAGGAUGAGCAGGAAGGAGAAGGAGAGUGAAGAAGCAGAAGUACAAGGAUGAGCAGGAAGGAAAGAGGAGAGUGAAGAAGCAGAAGUACAAGGAUGAGCAGGAAGGAAAGAGGAGAAUGAAGAAGCAGAAGUACAAGGAUGAGCAGGAAGGAGAAGGAGAGUGACGAGGUAGAAGUACAAGGAUGAGCAGGAAGGAAAGAGGAGAAUGAAGAAGUAGAAGUACAAGGAUGAGCAGGAAGGAAAGAGGAGAAUGAAGAAGCAGAAGUACAAGGAUGAGCAGGAAGAAAGGAUAGGACGAUCAAAAAAUUAUUAGGUGAAAGUAUUAAAAGGAGGAGAAUGAGAAGUAAAAGAGUUCAAUGACGUCAUGAAUGAUAAAAAAGAGAGAAUAGGAGCGAACUAGGAUAAAGAAGAGGAGAAAACCGUAGAAUAUGUAGCGCAAAAAUAACAAGUAAAAGAGAGCAGGGACGUGAUGGAUGAUUAAAAAAAAAGAGAAUAUGAGCGAAUUAGGAUAAAGAAGAAGAGAAAACCGUAGAAUAUGUAGCGCAAAAAUAACAAGUAAAAGAGUUCAAUGACGUGAUGAAUGAUAAAAAAGAGAGAAUAGGAGCGAACUAGGAUAAAGAGGAAGAGAAAACCGGAGAAUAUGUAACGCAAAAAUAACAAGUAAAAGAGAGCAGGGACGUGAUGAAUGAUAAAAAUUAGAGAAUAGGAGCGAACUAGGAUAAAGAGGAAGAGAAAACCGGAGAAUAUGUAGCGCAAAAAUAAGAAGGAAAAGAGAGCAAGGACGUAAUGAAUGAUAAAAAAUAGAGAAUAGGAGCGAACUAGGAUAAAGAGGAAGAGAAAACCGGAGAAUAUGUAGCGCAAAAAAUGAUAAAAAUGAUAAAAAAAAGAGAA
Long non-coding RNA from Eriocheir sinensis (Chinese mitten crab), 2100 nucleotides. RefSeq lists it as uncharacterized. NCBI's taxonomy places the organism in Eukaryota, Metazoa, Arthropoda, Malacostraca, Decapoda, Varunidae. The transcript is spliced from 2 exons. The record is from RefSeq and is a predicted model, not a curated record.